Molecule: ribosomal RNA, 466 nt
Filed under: uncultured bacterium
Lineage: Bacteria
Description: partial 16S ribosomal RNA
Rfam family: Bacterial small subunit ribosomal RNA
Source: RNAcentral
GAUGAACGCUGGCGGCGUGCUUAACACAUGCAAGUCGAACGGAAAGGCUCCUGCUUGCAGGGGCACUCGAGUGGCGAACGGGUGAGUAACACGUGGGUGAUCUGCCCUGCACUUCGGGAUAAGCCUGGGAAACUGGGUCUAAUACCGGAUAGGACCAUCGUUUAGUGUCGGUGGUGGAAAGUUUUUUCGGUGUGGGAUGAGCUCGCGGCCUAUCAGCUUGUUGGUGGGGUAAUGGCCUACCAAGGCGUCGACGGGUAGCCGGCCUGAGAGGGUGUACGGCCACAUUGGGACUGAGAUACGGCCCAGACUCCUACGGGAGGCAGCAGUGGGGAAUAUUGCACAAUGGGCGCAAGCCUGAUGCAGCGACGCCGCGUGGGGGAUGACGGCCUUCGGGUUGUAAACUCCUUUCGCCAGGGACGAAGCGAAAGUGACGGUACCUGGAUAAGAAGCACCGGCUAACUACGUG